CCCCUGCCUGCCACUGCCACCU
Molecule: microRNA, 22 nt
Filed under: Ornithorhynchus anatinus (platypus)
Lineage: Eukaryota; Metazoa; Chordata; Mammalia; Monotremata; Ornithorhynchidae
Description: Oan-Mir-1360_3p* (star (passenger))
Source: RNAcentral